GAUAAGUAAUGUGANUUGCAGAAUUCAGUGAAUCAUCGAAUCUUUGAACGCACCUUGCGCUCCUUGGUAUUCCGAGGAGCAUGCCUGUUUGAGUGUCAU
Molecule: ribosomal RNA, 99 nt
Filed under: Dendrothele maculata
Lineage: Eukaryota; Fungi; Basidiomycota; Agaricomycetes; Agaricales
Description: partial 5.8S ribosomal RNA
Rfam family: 5.8S ribosomal RNA
About the family: 5.8S ribosomal RNA (5.8S rRNA) is a component of the large subunit of the eukaryotic ribosome. It is transcribed by RNA polymerase I as part of the 45S precursor that also contains 18S and 28S rRNA.
Source: RNAcentral